AGCAGUCGCCACGGUAAUACGGAGGGUGCAAGCGUUAAUCGGAAUUACUGGGCGUAAAGCGCACGCAGGCGGUCUGUCAAGUCGGAUGUGAAAUCCCCGGGCUCAACCUGGGAACUGCAUUCGAAACUGGCAGGCUAGAGUCUUGUAGAGGGGGGUAGAAUUCCAGGUGUAGCGGUGAAAUGCGUAGAGAUCUGGAGGAAUACCGGUGGCGAAGGCGGCCCCCUGGACAAAGACUGACGCUCAGGUGCGAAAGCGUGGGGAGCAAACAGGAUUAGAUACCCCGGUAGUCCCUGUCUCUUAUAC
RNAcentral lists this ribosomal RNA (303 nucleotides) under uncultured bacterium. RNAcentral's name for it is "partial 16S ribosomal RNA". It matches the Rfam family "Bacterial small subunit ribosomal RNA", at positions 507 to 807 of the family's 1533-position model. The record is from RNAcentral.